This is a long non-coding RNA of Anguilla anguilla (European eel), 320 nucleotides long. RefSeq lists it as uncharacterized. The record is from RefSeq and is a predicted model, not a curated record. The transcript is spliced from 3 exons. NCBI's taxonomy places the organism in Eukaryota, Metazoa, Chordata, Actinopteri, Anguilliformes, Anguillidae.
AUAUAACUUGAAGUGAUUUUGGCGCUCAAAGCAAGAAGCAUUUUCGAUGACGACAACGCAACAGACUACAUCAUUUCGAGGUAACGUUUGCAAACAGCGAUCCGGAGAUAGUCAGCAUGGAUGAUUUGGAGGACACCACAUUGUCGGUGUUAAAGGCCGCCAGCAUUGAUGAGGGGGUUUUGAAAACUCUCAGCUGGAAUGACUUAAAAGAUCUCUUUCCUGGCCCUGAGCGUUUUCUCAAGAGGAAGAGGCUAUGGGAUUUAAUCAGUCCAGAGGAUUGGGACAGUGGGUUGCUAAUUGUAAAUCUGUAAACACGCAAU